AGGGACACUUAUACCUAUACUACUCACCAGCUACUCUUGACAACAGAGUGCUCAGUAUAUGAUCAUGCUCGAUGCUAAUGUACUUUUACAUACCAUCUAUGUGCCAUAACAGUGUCUCUACACUCCUUGGUUAAAAGGAUAACUAACUCAUAUAGUAUACAAUGACCUAUAUUCAAUAUUGCUAUCUUCUUAUUAAUAGCAUAUCAUUUUAUCGUGAACAUUUUUAAGGACUAAAUGACAAAUCC
RNAcentral lists this long non-coding RNA (245 nucleotides) under Elaeis guineensis (African oil palm). Its description in RNAcentral is "long non-coding RNA (EGUI_LNC082126)". The record is from RNAcentral. Lineage: Eukaryota; Viridiplantae; Streptophyta; Magnoliopsida; Arecales; Arecaceae.